Dermochelys coriacea (leatherback sea turtle) is the source of this 179-nucleotide long non-coding RNA. RefSeq lists it as uncharacterized. The transcript has 4 exons. The record is from RefSeq and is a predicted model, not a curated record. Lineage: Eukaryota; Metazoa; Chordata; Testudines; Dermochelyidae.
CCAGGACUCCAGGUCUCCUAAGGGAACAAAAGCAGGUUUGAGGGGCCCUCCAAGCAUGGUCAGCAUCAGACUCACUGGGGCCCAGGGCAGAAAGCUGAAGUCCCACCGCAUGGGGCUGAAGCCCAGGUCCCUGAGCCCCGCCACCCGGAGCUGAAGCCUGAGCAAUGUAGCUUCAUGGG